This 73-nucleotide transfer RNA is filed under the name Salmonella enterica subsp. enterica serovar Infantis. RNAcentral describes it as "tRNA-Leu". It matches the Rfam family "tRNA". From Rfam's summary of the family: Transfer RNA (tRNA) molecules are approximately 80 nucleotides in length. Their secondary structure includes four short double-helical elements and three loops (D, anti-codon, and T loops). Further hydrogen bonds mediate the characteristic L-shaped molecular structure. tRNAs have two regions of fundamental functional importance: the anti-codon, which is responsible for specific mRNA codon recognition, and the 3' end, to which the tRNAs corresponding amino acid is attached (by aminoacyl-tRNA synthetases). tRNAs cope with the degeneracy of the genetic code in two manners: having more than one tRNA (with a specific anti-codon) for a particular amino acid; and 'wobble' base-pairing, i.e. permitting non-standard base-pairing at the 3rd anti-codon position. Lineage: Bacteria; Pseudomonadati; Pseudomonadota; Gammaproteobacteria; Enterobacterales; Enterobacteriaceae. RNAcentral also lists the same sequence under 1 other name. The record is from RNAcentral.
GUGUCUGUAGCCCAACGGUAGAGGCGUUGCCCCGAGAAGGCAUUCAGUCCGGGUUCGAAUCUCGGCAGACACA